UUCGCCGGCAUCCCGCUGGACCGGAUGAGCGUGUCGAUGACGAUGAACGGCGCCGUCCUGCCGGUGCUGGCGUUCUACAUCGUCGCGGCGGAG
Molecule: transfer RNA, 93 nt
Filed under: Plantactinospora endophytica
Lineage: Bacteria; Bacillati; Actinomycetota; Actinomycetes; Micromonosporales; Micromonosporaceae
Description: tRNA-Ser
Source: RNAcentral